GGUAGCUCAGUUGGUUAGAGCGUGGUGCUGAUAAUGCCAAGGUUGCAGGUUUGAUCCUCAUAAGGGCCA
Molecule: non-coding RNA, 69 nt
Organism: Podarcis lilfordi (Lilford's wall lizard)
Lineage: Eukaryota; Metazoa; Chordata; Lepidosauria; Squamata; Lacertidae
Source: the annotation of a GenBank genome assembly